Molecule: long non-coding RNA, 1045 nt
Filed under: Vulpes vulpes (red fox)
Lineage: Eukaryota; Metazoa; Chordata; Mammalia; Carnivora; Canidae
Description: lncRNA (ENSVVUG00000019071.1)
Source: RNAcentral
GUACGAAUGACCUGCAUGCCCACAGCUGAGAACGAACACCAAAAUGAGACAGAAUUGCGGAGAGGUGGUGGUGAUGGAGGAAGAACACAGAAGCCAAGGACAAAUACGAAACAGCAGCACUAAAAAUGCAAAAUAAAAGCAAACAAAUAAAACCAGAUUAAUAUAAAUUAAAGCCAAGAUUCCAAGCUUUGUGAGCAAAAGAAUUCUAGUCUUUGUUCCAUGUUCCAGGAUCCUAACAACUGUGUUUAGGGCUGGGGGUGGNNNNNNNNNNNNNNNNNNNNNNNNNNNNNNNNNNNNNNNNNNNNNNNNNNCGGUGGGGAGGUGGGGUUAUUUAUUCAACAAGCAGUUGGCUCGCUUAUAAGAAAUUAAGCAUCUGUCUUGGGAAGCUUCCUCUCCAACAGAGCCAUACUGAGUGCAUACCAUAUGAAAAGGAAGAGGCUCACGGAACUGGAGGUUAUUACUGGAAACUUGUUGGAGAAGGAAGACGCAAGCGAAAGGAGAGGACAUGACGUAUGGUGGUUGCUAAGAAACAUGCAACUGAACAUAGGCUGCCACUUAAUAAUGGCCAGAGGGGGUGUGAGCUGUGAUAACAUCAGCCACCAUAGCUCUGCCUCUCAGCCCAGCAGGGGCCAUUGCUGUGGGGAAAAUGAAAAGGAAGGCAGCCUUGUUAGGGAAAAUGUAAGAAGAUCUGGAAAGGGAAAUGAAAGCCUGAGGCCCUUCUCCUACUGAGAUGGUACUGCAGGCGCCCUAUGGGAAAAGUGGUGAAGCUGGCGGGGCUACUGGAAAUCACAUUUCCAUCAUGUGCAUAAAGCUGGUCUACUGUGGAAGAGAAUGACAUUGACCAGCAAAAUCAUGCAGAGAGGAGACAAAGAAAUUCCCCAGAUCGCCUGAAUGUCUGGCUCUGGUUCCUGAGUUCCCUGAGACCACCCUGGUUCUCACCUUCCAGAAAUCCAGGUGACAAUUAGAUGAGAAAAUGCAUGCAAAGCCUUUAGCACAGUGCCUGACACAGAGGAUUUAAUAAAUAUUUAUAUUAUUCUCUUGAGCA